This 431-nucleotide long non-coding RNA is filed under the name Elaeis guineensis (African oil palm). RNAcentral describes it as "long non-coding RNA (EGUI_LNC013331)". The record is from RNAcentral. Lineage: Eukaryota; Viridiplantae; Streptophyta; Magnoliopsida; Arecales; Arecaceae.
CCGAGGGAUCCUGCCCCUCGAUCUUUAGCCUCCUCAUCAUAGUAGAGUUUGGGUACUCUCCGAAUUUUGAUGCGAAUGACAUCGCACCCAACCGACCUACCAGCUGAGACUCUUCCUCCGAUGGGAGCCCCAUCGGACGUCAAGGUCCAAAACACCAGGAAGGACAUCGACGAUUAUCGAGUUGCAUGAUCUUUACUCCGAUCAGCCAUGACACUAGCCAACGUCGAAGCCUCCGAUGCUGAAGGUGGUGCUUUCCAAGUUCAUGACUUGUAUGACUCUCUUCUUCGGGUAAGUGACGAUCUUCGGCCAAUUUUUGACUCUUCUCUUUCUCCUAUUUAAUACUUGCUGAUCUUUCUCUCUCUUCUUCUCUCAUUUUUUUUAGCUCAUCUAUCAUGUAGACCACUUCGUGUAGGUGAUCUGGAAAGCUCGGC